GGGGGAUAUUGCACAAUGGAGGAAACUCUGAUGCAGCGACGCCGCGUGAGUGAAGAAGUAUUUCGGUAUGUAAAGCUCUAUCAGCAGGGAAGAUGAUGACGGUACCUGACUAAGAAGCCCCGGCUAACUACGUGCCAGCAGCCGCGGUAAUACGUAGGGGGCAAGCGUUAUCCGGAUUUACUGGGUGUAAAGGGAGCGCAGGCGGUUUUGCAAGUUGAGAGUGGAAGCAGGGGGCUCAACCCCCUGACUGCUCCCAAAACUGUAGGAUUUGAGUAUGGGAGAGGCAGGCGGAAUUCCUAGUGUAGCGGUGAAAUGCUUAGAUAUUAGGAAGAACACCGGUGGCGAAGGCGGCCUGCUGGACCAAAACUGACGCUGAGGCUCGAAAGCGUGGGUAGCAAACAGGAUUAGAUACCCUGGUAGUCCACGCUGUAAACGAUGAAUACUAGGUGCUGGGAGGCAUAAGCUUUUCGGUGCCGUCGCAAACGCAUUAAGUAUUCCACCUGGGGAGUACGUUCGCAAGAAUG
This 524-nucleotide ribosomal RNA is filed under the name uncultured bacterium. RNAcentral describes it as "bacterial SSU rRNA". It matches the Rfam family "Bacterial small subunit ribosomal RNA", at positions 356 to 896 of the family's 1533-position model. The record is from RNAcentral.